Molecule: ribosomal RNA, 497 nt
Filed under: uncultured bacterium
Lineage: Bacteria
Description: partial 16S ribosomal RNA
Rfam family: Bacterial small subunit ribosomal RNA
Source: RNAcentral
GAUGAACGCUGGCGGCGUGCCUAAUACAUGCAAGUCGAGCGAACAGACGAGGAGCUUGCUCCUCUGACGUUAGCGGCGGACGGGUGAGUAACACGUGGAUAACCUACCUAUAAGACUGGGAUAACUUCGGGAAACCGGAGCUAAUACCGGAUAAUAUAUUGAACCGCAUGGUUCAAUAGUGAAAGACGGCUUUGCUGUCACUUAUAGAUGGAUCCGCGCUGCAUUAGCUAGUUGGUAAGGUAACGGCUUACCAAGGCAACGAUGCGUAGCCGACCUGAGAGGGUGAUCGGCCACACUGGAACUGAGACACGGUCCAGACUCCUACGGGAGGCAGCAGUAGGGAAUCGUCCGCAAUGGGCGAAAGCCUGACGGAGCGACGCCGCGUGAGUGAUGAAGGUCUUCGGAUCGUAAAACUCUGUUAUGAGGGAAGAACAAAUGUGGAAGUAACUAUGCACGUCUUGACGGUACCUAAUCAGAAAGCCACGGCUAACUACGUG